This 582-nucleotide ribosomal RNA is filed under the name Triticum aestivum (bread wheat). RNAcentral describes it as "partial small subunit ribosomal RNA". The record is from RNAcentral. Lineage: Eukaryota; Viridiplantae; Streptophyta; Magnoliopsida; Poales; Poaceae.
AUGGUGGAGGGCUCCGUGUCCGACAUCGCCAACCUGAAGUUCCUCCUCCUGUGCUUCCAACAGAUGUCGGGACUCACCAUCAACUUCGACAAGAGUGAAGUGAUGGUCCUCGGCUACCCCCCGGACGAUGCUUUGUCCAUUGCGGACCGGCUGAAUUGCCGCCUGGGCUCCUUCCCCACGACUUACUUGGGCGUGCCCAUUAGCGACUCCAGACUCACCGUCGCGGAUCUCCGCCCGACGGUGACUAGGAUGCAGCACAUGGUUGAACCCUGGAGGGGACGCUGGCUGUCGAAAGCUGCCAGGGUGAUCCUAAUCAACUCCUCGCUUGUCAGCCUUCUCUGGUUUCUCAUGAGUUUCUACAGCCUUCAUGAGACCCUCCAUCAGGAGGUGGCCAAAUACCAGUCGAGGUUCUUCUGGGCUGGCGACGGCGACAAGCAGAAGUACCAUAUGGUGAGUUGGCCCGACAUCUGCAAACCCAAAGACCAGGGUGGCCUUGGGAUCCUAUCAUCCCGACGCAUGAACAUUGCCCUCCUGACCCGAUGGUUGUGGCGUAUUGCCAAUGGGAAGGGAGGCCUCUGGCUC